RNAcentral lists this ribosomal RNA (372 nucleotides) under uncultured organism. RNAcentral describes it as "bacterial SSU rRNA". It matches the Rfam family "Bacterial small subunit ribosomal RNA", at positions 526 to 896 of the family's 1533-position model. The record is from RNAcentral.
CGGGGGGGGCAAGCGUUGUUCGGAAUUACUGGGCGUAAAGGGCUCGUAGGUGGCCAACUAAGUCAGACGUGAAAUCCCUCGGCUUAACCGGGGAACUGCAUCUGAUACUGGAUGGCUUGAGUUUGGGAGAGGGACGCGGAAUUCCAGGUGUAGCGGUGAAAUGCGUAGAUAUCUGGAGGAACACCGGUGGCGAAGGCGGCGUCCUGGACCAACACUGACACUGAUGAGCGAAAGCCAGGGGAGCAAACGGGAUUAGAUACCCCGGUAGUCCUGGCCCUAAACGAUGAAUGCUUGGUGUGACGGGUAUCGAUCCCUGCCGUGCCGAAGCUAACGCAUUAAGCAUUCCGCCUGGGGAGUACGGUCGCAAGGCUG